Non-coding RNA from Tupaia belangeri chinensis (Chinese tree shrew), 471 nucleotides. The record is from the annotation of a RefSeq genome assembly. NCBI's taxonomy places the organism in Eukaryota, Metazoa, Chordata, Mammalia, Scandentia, Tupaiidae.
AUGGCCUGGACCACACUCUCCCUCCUUGUCCUUGUUCUCCACUGCACAGGGUCCCUCUCCCAGGCUGUGCUGACUCAAUCGCCAUCUACCUCUGCUUCCCUGGGAGCCUUGGCCAAGCUCACCUGCACUCUGAGCAGGGAGCACAACAACUACAACAUUGGGUGGUACCGGCAGCAGCCAGGGAAAGCCCUUCGGUAUGUGAUGUAUCUUUACAGUAAUGGAAGACACAAGGGCGACAGGAUCCCUGAUCACUUCUCGGGCUUGAGCUCUGAAGCUGACCACUACUUGACCCCCUUCAACCUCCAGCCUGAGGAUGAGGCUGACUACUUCUAUGUUUUACCUUAUAGUGGUUCCCUCUCCCAGCCUGUAGUAGCUCAGCCACCCUCCCUCUCUGCAUCUCCUGGGGCAUCUACCAGACUCACCUGCACCCUGAGCAGUGGCUUCAGUGUCAGUGACUUUGGCUUCUGCUGA